This 253-nucleotide ribosomal RNA is filed under the name uncultured bacterium. RNAcentral's name for it is "partial 16S ribosomal RNA". It matches the Rfam family "Bacterial small subunit ribosomal RNA", at positions 524 to 776 of the family's 1533-position model. The record is from RNAcentral.
UACAGAGACUGCAAGCGUUAUUCGGAUUCACUGGGCGUAAAGGGUGCGCAGGCGGUUUUGUGUGUCAGGUGUGAAAGCCCGGGGCUUAACCCCGGAAUUGCGCCUGAAACUACAUGACUAGAGCAUUGGAGAGGGUAGCGGAAUUCACGGUGUAGCAGUGAAAUGCGUAGAUAUCGUGAGGAACACCAGAGGCGAAGGCGGAUACCUGGACAAUUGCUGACGCUCAGGCACGAAAGCGUGGGGAGCAAAAGGG